RNAcentral lists this transfer RNA (82 nucleotides) under Actinomycetota bacterium. RNAcentral describes it as "Actinobacteria bacterium (freshwater metagenome) tRNA-Leu". It matches the Rfam family "tRNA". From Rfam's summary of the family: Transfer RNA (tRNA) molecules are approximately 80 nucleotides in length. Their secondary structure includes four short double-helical elements and three loops (D, anti-codon, and T loops). Further hydrogen bonds mediate the characteristic L-shaped molecular structure. tRNAs have two regions of fundamental functional importance: the anti-codon, which is responsible for specific mRNA codon recognition, and the 3' end, to which the tRNAs corresponding amino acid is attached (by aminoacyl-tRNA synthetases). tRNAs cope with the degeneracy of the genetic code in two manners: having more than one tRNA (with a specific anti-codon) for a particular amino acid; and 'wobble' base-pairing, i.e. permitting non-standard base-pairing at the 3rd anti-codon position. Lineage: Bacteria; Bacillati; Actinomycetota. The record is from RNAcentral.
GCGGACGUGGCGGAACUGGCAGACGCACCAGGUUUAGGUCCUGGCGCCGAGAGGCGUGCGGGUUCGACUCCCGCCGUCCGCA